This 205-nucleotide unclassified non-coding RNA is filed under the name Entoloma phaeocyathus. Its description in RNAcentral is "partial internal transcribed spacer 2". The record is from RNAcentral. Lineage: Eukaryota; Fungi; Basidiomycota; Agaricomycetes; Agaricales; Entolomataceae.
AAUUCUCAACCUUUCUGGCUUUUACAAAGUUGGUCAGGCUUGGAUUGUGGGGGUUGCUGGCUUCUAAAGUCAGCUCUUCUAAAAUACAUUAGCAAGAUCAUUGCUGCUCAUCACUGGUAUGAUAAUUAUCUAUACUAUUGAUGAGUCGGUUUCCUUUAUGGAGGAUUUUGCUCCUAGCUGUCUUCAUUAAGACAAUACUUGACCA